This 429-nucleotide ribosomal RNA is filed under the name Acidobacteriota bacterium. Its description in RNAcentral is "Acidobacteria bacterium partial 16S ribosomal RNA". It matches the Rfam family "Bacterial small subunit ribosomal RNA", at positions 355 to 776 of the family's 1533-position model. Lineage: Bacteria; Pseudomonadati; Acidobacteriota. The record is from RNAcentral.
UGGGGAAUUUUGGACAAUGUGGGAAACCCUGAUCCAGCCAUCCCGCGUGUGCGAUGAAGGCCUUCGGGUUGUAAAGCACUUUUGGCAGGAAAGAAACGUCAUGGGUUAAUACCCCGUGAAACUGACGGUACCUGCAGAAUAAGCACCGGCUAACUACGUGCCAGCAGCCGCGGUAAUACGUAGGGUGCAAGCGUUAAUCGGAAUUACUGGGCGUAAAGCGUGCGCAGGCGGUUCGGAAAGAAAGAUGUGAAAUCCCAGAGCUCAACUUUGGAACUGCAUUUUUAACUACCGGGCUAGAGUGUGUCAGAGGGAGGUGGAAUUCCGCGUGUAGCAGUGAAAUGCGUAGAUAUGCGGAGGAACACCGAUGGCGAAGGCAGCCUCCUGGGAUAACACUGACGCUCAUGCACGAAAGCGUGGGGAGCAAACAGG